This 455-nucleotide ribosomal RNA is filed under the name uncultured bacterium. Its description in RNAcentral is "bacterial SSU rRNA". It matches the Rfam family "Bacterial small subunit ribosomal RNA", at positions 340 to 787 of the family's 1533-position model. The record is from RNAcentral.
UACGGAAGGCAGCAGUGGGGAAUAUUGCACAAUGGGCGCAAGCCUGAUGCAGCCAUGCCGCGUGUAUGAAAAAGGCCUUCGGGUUGUAAAGUACUUUCAGUCGUGAGGAAGGUGUUAAGGUUAAUAACCUUAGCAAUUGACGUUAGCGACAGAAGAAGCACCGGCUAACUCCGUGCCAGCAGCCGCGGUAAUACGGAGGGUGCGAGCGUUAAUCGGAAUUACUGGGCGUAAAGGGCACGCAGGCGGUUAAUUAAGUUGGAUGUGAAAUCCCCGGGCUUAACCUGGGAAUGGCAUUCAAGACUGGUUAGCUAGAGUCUUGUAGAGGGGGUAGAAUUCCAUGUGUAGCGGUGAAAUGCGUAGAGAUGUGGAGGAAUACCGGUGGCGAAGGCGGCCCCUGGACAAAGACUGACGCUCAUGUGCGAAAGCGUGGGGAGCAAACGAGGGAUUAGAUACCC